Molecule: long non-coding RNA, 794 nt
Organism: Brassica oleracea var. oleracea
Lineage: Eukaryota; Viridiplantae; Streptophyta; Magnoliopsida; Brassicales; Brassicaceae
Exons: 4
Source: RefSeq, a predicted model, not a curated record
GUCAGCAUCAUCAUCAUCUAUUCUCUUAGCUGUAGCCGUUCCAAGCACAUACCUGCUGAGAUGGAGAUCUACUGCUAUUUCUUUGUCAUUCUUUUUCUGAUUGAUGAGAAAAAAGUACGACGAUGUUAGUUCGUUUCGUUGACAUACUUUGUUUAUUAAUCUUCAUGUCGUAUUAGUUCCAAAGUGUUUUGCUUUCUCUCCUUUAGUCCAAAGCUUGCGUUUCAGCUUGCAUUGCUCGCCUUAACAGCUCAAACAAGCGAACCCCUUGAUGUGAUCGCUUCAAGAUUGUAUUUUUAAUAUUCAGUGAGUUAUGAGAUGACUGGUGAUCUUGCUGAGAUUUUUGGUACUCAAUCUGCCCUUUCACCAUUCUGCAACACUUCGUCAUGAUGAGUUGGGUCAAGAAACACUUCUGACUUGAUUGCUUCGCAACUACCUGUACUACAACAACCUUUAUGACCACGAAGAGAAGUUGAGAUCAAAAGAAACAAGAUUUGAGAUGAAGGGAAGCCAAAAGUGAGAAGAGUAUCUGUUGUGUUUUCAGUUUCACCCGAAGAAAAAUGUAAUAUGAGGAAUCUUCUUCUCCUGCAAAAAAGCUUAAAAAAGAAGAAAAAUAGUCCAGUCUCCAACACGAGAUCGUGUUUUAAAUUUGCAGUCAUGGCCUGUGAUUUAUAUGUUUUAGAUGUAAAAAUUUCUGUGCUAGUUUGUUUUAAAAGUUUUGUCAUUUAGUUUGGGUUUUGGACAUAGCACUUUGUUUUUUUGGUCAAUUUUGACUAAAUACUCUCUAUUUAAUGAUU